UACCUGGGAUUGACAGCAUAUGCACUUAAAUUGAACCUACUGCACUGCUUGUAUCAGUGAACAUGUUUAAGGCUUUAAGGCUGUACAGUUUCAAAUACCUCAUUCUGACUUGCUGGUGGCAGUAGUGACGCAUGGCACAUUUGGUUUUGAAA
Molecule: long non-coding RNA, 152 nt
Organism: Gadus macrocephalus (Pacific cod)
Lineage: Eukaryota; Metazoa; Chordata; Actinopteri; Gadiformes; Gadidae
Exons: 2
Source: RefSeq, a predicted model, not a curated record